RNAcentral lists this ribosomal RNA (492 nucleotides) under uncultured bacterium. Its description in RNAcentral is "partial 16S ribosomal RNA". It matches the Rfam family "Bacterial small subunit ribosomal RNA", at positions 29 to 507 of the family's 1533-position model. The record is from RNAcentral.
AGUGAACGCUGGCGGUAGGCCUAACACAUGCAAGUCGAACGGCAGCACAGUAAGAGCUUGCUCUUACGGGUGGCGAGUGGCGGACGGGUGAGGAAUACAUCGGAAUCUACUUUUUCGUGGGGGAUAACGUAGGGAAACUUACGCUAAUACCGCAUACGACCUACGGGUGAAAGCAGGGGAUCUUCGGACCUUGCGCGAUUGAAUGAGCCGAUGUCGGAUUAGCUAGUUGGCGGGGUAAAGGCCCACCAAGGCGACGAUCCGUAGCUGGUCUGAGAGGAUGAUCCGCCACCCUGGAACUGAGACACGGUCCAGACUCCUACGGGAGGCAGCAGUGGGGAAUAUUGGACAAUGGGCGCAAGCCUGAUCCAGCCAUACCGCGUGGGUGAAGAAGGCCUUCGGGUUGUAAAGCCCUUUUGUUGGGAAAGAAAAGCAGCAGGUUAAUACCCCGCUGUUCUGACGGUACCCAAAGAAUAAGCACCGGCUACCUUCGUG